This is a long non-coding RNA of Brassica oleracea var. oleracea, 491 nucleotides long. RefSeq lists it as uncharacterized. Lineage: Eukaryota; Viridiplantae; Streptophyta; Magnoliopsida; Brassicales; Brassicaceae. The transcript is spliced from 2 exons. The record is from RefSeq and is a predicted model, not a curated record.
ACCACAACGACAAGCAAAGUAAGCGUCGUGGUGGUGGUUUAUCUGUAAAAAAAAGAUAUGCCUGAGAUUCGCGGACCGUCGGAAUACUAACUAUCAGGAACCAUCUUGUGACCUCUGUCUCAAAGUCAACACAAAGGAAAGCUCUUCUUUGCUUUGUUUCUGAUAUGCUAUUUUAUGUAUUCAUUCGAUUGACAGGAGAUAGCCCUUCAAUGCGGAGCCUUCUCGCUCUGCCUUAGUGUCAUCUUUUGUCACUCUUUUCUACAAGCGAAUCAUGGCCCCGCCCGCUCCCAUUGUUGAUCACAUCGAAAGGUCCUCAUCUUCCGUUUCUUUCAACUUUGCCUCCCUCUCUGAUUCUGGAUCUCUCGUUUCUUCUAACCAGCUACUCCGUGCCCGUCACCCUAUUCAUCAAAUAUAUCAGGAUUGUUGCCUAGCAAUUUAUUUCAAGAAGGGGGAGAAGAAUAUUAAAAAAAAAAAUAAAGAAACCUACGAAG